CUAAGACAUGUGAAUACUAGUACUUACAAAAACAUACAAAGUCCGUGACACUUUCAUUACAACAACACAAGCGAGUACAAGACAUAUCUUCCGCUGUCAACUUUCCUAUAGCCUCCUGAGAACCACCAACGGUCCUGUAAGUGAACACAAAGUGUGUUCAUGAUAACUUCUUACUAAUAAUAGUUUAUGUUCAGAAAUCAAAACCAACAAAAGUAGAGAAUCUUUUACUUGCCCUUCAAACACAAGUUCCUUCUUCUUUUGAAGCUUCAGAAUCUUUUCCUCCACUGUGUUCUCUAUUAUGAAUCUUCACAACCUGCAAGACAAGAGAGAAACAAAAAAAAUACAACAUAUGAGGAAAGCGUCGAGCUCCACCACCGUUGGAGGCGACGGCGGCGUCUCCCGAGCUUUCUCAGUCAGCUGAACGUCGAAAUUGAAUCCAUCAGACGGAUUCCGCAGUGGAGAUGGAGACGCC
This 472-nucleotide long non-coding RNA is filed under the name Brassica rapa (field mustard). RNAcentral describes it as "long non-coding RNA (BRAP_LNC003911)". The record is from RNAcentral. Lineage: Eukaryota; Viridiplantae; Streptophyta; Magnoliopsida; Brassicales; Brassicaceae.